CAGCUGCCCUCACUCUGAUCUUCACAGGUUUCAGGAGAGGGAUGGUACCAAGUUUUAGGAGAUCUCAGUUCUAAUCCUGACCAAGACCCACAGAGACCUGGCCCUGAGACAGUUUACUUUUGCCUCUGUGUUGGGCUGGAAGUCAGUUUGUAUGACUACAAGGACCAGCUUACUGCAGAAAAACAGACCUUGAUCUUCCGACCAGCUCUCCAAGAAGGUCUGUGUCCAUGGGGGCUCAGAACCCAUCUCCAGUCAGAAAUGUAAUUUACAACUCCCUUCCUUCAGUGUCAAAGCCAACGACAUAAAGGACAUACAAUAUUGAGAAAGACCUAACUUUACUGACACUAUGAAAUA
Long non-coding RNA from Poecile atricapillus (Black-capped chickadee), 354 nucleotides. RefSeq lists it as uncharacterized. The transcript has 3 exons. The record is from RefSeq and is a predicted model, not a curated record. NCBI's taxonomy places the organism in Eukaryota, Metazoa, Chordata, Aves, Passeriformes, Paridae.